AAACAGAUGUGUGCAGGCCACCUCAUGUUGACCAUCAUAGGAGAGAGCAUGUGCUGCCUCUUUGAAUUUGCAGGAUACGAGGUGCUUAGGUUAAACCAUGUAGGAGAUUGGGGGACCCAGUUUGACAUGCAUAUUCCUCACCUGCAAGAUAAAUUUCCAGCUUGUCUAACAGUUUCACCUCCUAUUGGAAAUCUUCAGGCCUUUUGUAAGGAAUCUAAGAGGUUUGAUACUGAGGAGGAAUUUAAGAAAUGAGCAUAUCAGUGUCACAUUCUGUUCCAGAGUAAAAAUCCAGAUAUUAUAAAAACUUGAAAGUUUAUCUGUGAUAUCUCCUGCCAAUAGUUUAGUAAAAUCUAUGAUGCUCUGGACAUCUCUUUAAUAGAUAAAGAAUAAUUCUUCUGUCAAGAUAGGAUGAAUGAUGUAAAGGAAUUUGAUGAUAGAUGAUUUGUGCAAGUGGAUGAUGGCAGAAAGUUUGUGUUGGUCCCAGGAUGUUCCAUACCAUUAACCAUGGUAAAAUCAGAUGGAGGCUGGGUGUGGUAGCUCAUGCCUAUAAUCCAAGCACUUCGGGAGCCUGAGGCAAAAUCAGAUGGAGGUUAUAACUAUGAUGCAUCUGAUCUGGCUGCUCUUAAGCAAAAACUAUUUGAGGAGAAAGAAGAUAUGGUUAUCUCUGGGUGAACAGUGGACAAUCUCUGCACUUCCAAAAAAUAUUUGCUGCUGCUCAAAAGAUUGGUUGGUAUGAUCCUAAAGUAACUAGAGUCUCCCGUGCUGGAUUUGGUGUGUUGCUAGGGGAAGACAAGAAGUUUAAUAUAUGUUCAGAUGAAACAGUUCAUCUCGUAGACCUGGAAUAAGGACUAAAGUGAUCCAUGGACAAAUUGAAGGAAAAAGAAAGAAGCAAGGUCUUAACUGCAGAGGAAUUGAGUGCUGCUUAGACAUCUGUUGCUUAUGGCUGUAUCAAAUAAACUGAACUUUCCCAUAACCGGUUGAGUGACAACAUCUUCUCGUUUGACAAAAUGCUAGAUGACAGAGGAAAUACAGCUGCUUACUUUUUGUGUGGUUUCACUAGAACCAGGUCUAUUGCACAUCUGGCCAGUAUCAAUGAUCAGAUGCUCCAAAAAGCUGCUUGACAGACCAAGAUUAUUUUGCACCAUGAGAAAGAAUGGAAACUAGGCCAUGGCAUUUUAUGGCUCCCUGAGAUACAACAAAAGAUUUUAGAUGACUUACUUCUGGUUCUUGUGGUUCUAUAUAUGAGCUGGCAGCUACUUUCACAGAGUUCUAUGAUAGCUGCUAUUGUGUGGAGAAAGAUCGACAAGAGUGGAGAGAUAUUGAAGGUGAACAUGUGGUGUACGCUGCUGCGUGAAGCAGUAGAUGCUGUCCUGGCUGAGGAGUUCAAUAUCCCGGGAAUAAAACCUGUCCAAAGGAUG
RNAcentral lists this long non-coding RNA (1418 nucleotides) under Homo sapiens (human). RNAcentral's name for it is "non-protein coding lnc-PPFIBP1-1:1". The record is from RNAcentral. Lineage: Eukaryota; Metazoa; Chordata; Mammalia; Primates; Hominidae.